CAGAGGUCCCAAGCGUUGUUCGGAUUCACUGGGCGUAAAGGGUGCGCAGGAGGGUUUGCAAGUUUGAUGUGAAAGCCCCGGGCUUAACCCGGGAAUGGCAUUGAAUACUGCAGAUCUGGAGGAUUGGAGGGGGGACUGGAAUUCUUGGUGUAGCAGUGAAAUGCGUAGAUAUCAAGAGGAACACCAGUGGCGAAGGCGAGUCCCUGGACAAUACCUGACACUGAGGCACGAAAGCUAGGGGAGCAAACAGGAUUAGAUACCCUGGUAGUCCUAGCUGUAAACGGUGCGCAUUUGCUGUAAACGGAAUCGACCCCGUUUGUGGCGAAGCUAACGCGAUAAAUGCGCCGCCUGGGAAGUACGGUCGCAAGAUUA
This 372-nucleotide ribosomal RNA is filed under the name uncultured organism. Its description in RNAcentral is "bacterial SSU rRNA". It matches the Rfam family "Bacterial small subunit ribosomal RNA", at positions 526 to 896 of the family's 1533-position model. The record is from RNAcentral.